UACGUAGGGUGCAAGCGUUGUCCGGAAUUAUUGGGCGUAAAGAGCUCGUAGGCGGUUUGUCGCGUCUGCUGUGAAAACUCAGGGCUUAACUCUGAGCUUGCAGUGGGUACGGGCAGACUAGAGUGCGGUAGGGGAGACUGGAAUUCCUGGUGUAGCGGUGAAAUGCGCAGAUAUCAGGAGGAACACCGGUGGCGAAGGCGGGUCUCUGGGCCGUAACUGACGCUGAGGAGCGAAAGCAUGGGGAGCGAUCCGG
This 253-nucleotide ribosomal RNA is filed under the name uncultured bacterium. RNAcentral describes it as "partial 16S ribosomal RNA". It matches the Rfam family "Bacterial small subunit ribosomal RNA", at positions 524 to 776 of the family's 1533-position model. The record is from RNAcentral.